GGGGGAAUGCCCGAGUGGCUAAAGGGGGCAGACUGUAAAUCUGUUAGCUUAGCUUACGGUGGUUCGAAUCCACCUUCCCCCACCA
This 85-nucleotide transfer RNA is filed under the name Chitinophagaceae bacterium. Its description in RNAcentral is "tRNA-Tyr". It matches the Rfam family "tRNA". Rfam says of the family: Transfer RNA (tRNA) molecules are approximately 80 nucleotides in length. Their secondary structure includes four short double-helical elements and three loops (D, anti-codon, and T loops). The record is from RNAcentral. Lineage: Bacteria; Pseudomonadati; Bacteroidota; Chitinophagia; Chitinophagales; Chitinophagaceae. RNAcentral also lists the same sequence under 2 other names.